GACGAACGCUGGCGGCGUGCUUAACACAUGCAAGUCGAACGGAAAGGCCCCUUUUGGGGUACUCGCGUGGCGGACGGGUGGGUAACACGUGAGUAACCUGCCCUUGACUGCGGGAUAACUUCAGGCAACUGGGGCGAAUACCGGAUAGGAAUCCUUGCUGCCUGGUGGGGGUGGGAAAGAUUGGGCGGUUUUGGAUGGACUCGCGGCUUAUCAGCUUGUUGGUGGGGUAGUGGCUUACCAAGGCUUUGACGGGUAGCCGGCCUGAGAGGGCGACCGGCCACAUUGGGACUGAGAUACGGCCCCGACUCCUACGGGAGGCAGCAGUGGGGAAUAUUGCACAAUGGGCGGAAGCCUGAUGCAGCAACGCCGCGUGCGGGAUGACGGCCUUCGGGUUGUAAACCGCUUUCAGCAGGGGCGAAGCUUGUGGUGACGGUACCUGCAGAAGAAGCACCGGCUAACUACGUG
RNAcentral lists this ribosomal RNA (465 nucleotides) under uncultured bacterium. Its description in RNAcentral is "partial 16S ribosomal RNA". It matches the Rfam family "Bacterial small subunit ribosomal RNA", at positions 28 to 507 of the family's 1533-position model. The record is from RNAcentral.